UUCUAUUUUAUUCCGUCAAUCUUUUAGAGAUUUUUAUCUUAGAUUUUACUGAGUUUUCUACUGAAAAAUCCCUUCAAAAAUCUUUAUUUUUCGAAUCCCCUGUUUUUGUCUUUAUUCUUGAUUGCCGUCACCGUGGGCCGUUGCCGGUCAUCGGACCCGAUCGCUCGACAUCAUCGGAGACUACCCCACUGGUCGGAGGGGUGGUCGGCUAGGGGGAGGCCUCUCAGUUCGAGAACAAGAGGAAGGAAGACCUCCUUGUUCCGUGAAGAAAAAAAGGGAAAAGAU
RNAcentral lists this long non-coding RNA (285 nucleotides) under Elaeis guineensis (African oil palm). RNAcentral's name for it is "long non-coding RNA (EGUI_LNC005196)". The record is from RNAcentral. Lineage: Eukaryota; Viridiplantae; Streptophyta; Magnoliopsida; Arecales; Arecaceae.